RNAcentral lists this ribosomal RNA (464 nucleotides) under Vreelandella stevensii. RNAcentral describes it as "partial 16S ribosomal RNA". It matches the Rfam family "Bacterial small subunit ribosomal RNA", at positions 338 to 795 of the family's 1533-position model. The record is from RNAcentral. Lineage: Bacteria; Pseudomonadati; Pseudomonadota; Gammaproteobacteria; Oceanospirillales; Halomonadaceae.
CCUACGGGGCGCUGCAGUGGGGAAUAUUGGACAAUGGGCGAAAGCCUGAUCCAGCCAUGCCGCGUGUGUGAAGAAGGCCUUCGGGUUGUAAAGCACUUUCAGUGGGGAAGAAAGCCUUGGGGCUAAUACCCUCGAGGAAGGACAUCACCCACAGAAGAAGCACCGGCUAACUCCGUGCCAGCAGCCGCGGUAAUACGGAGGGUGCGAGCGUUAAUCGGAAUUACUGGGCGUAAAGCGCGCGUAGGCGGUCUGAUAAGCCGGUUGUGAAAGCCCCGGGCUCAACCUGGGAACGGCAUCCGGAACUGUCAGGCUAGAGUGCAGGAGAGGAAGGUAGAAUUCCCGGUGUAGCGGUGAAAUGCGUAGAGAUCGGGAGGAAUACCAGUGGCGAAGGCGGCCUUCUGGACUGACACUGACGCUGAGGUGCGAAAGCGUGGGUAGCAAACAGGAUAGAUACCCUUGUAGUC